GAAGUCGACGUUGGCGGCACUGCAAUGCCAGUCGCAUUUUUAUAGUCAAAGCGAAACCAGCGUUAGUGCGGCAAUACGAGAAAAUUGCCUUUGCGGAUAAAGGAAAAAGAAAAAAUUCAAAAUGCUUGCUGAUAAUUUUGGCGUUGCGUUUGAACGUUUGUGGUCACGCACUAGAAUAAUGAUUUUUAUUUAUAAUGCGAGUGUCAAGUGAAAACGAUAUUUGGAAAAUAUUUGCAAUGCCACAUCCAAGUGUUUGAAUGCACAUUUGUGUGUGUGUACGUGUAUUUAUGUGAGAAACAGCGUUGCAUGCAGUUCACUGGAGUAUUUAAGUGAUUUCAGAUUGCAACGAAAUGUUGGCGCUUAUAAAGAAAGGUUGCUGCUCCACCUGAGAUACCAGCGAAAAAACUAAGACGCGUAAAAUUGAAUAGUAAUUUUUUGAAUUAUUACAAAUUUUGUACGCUCUCAAAGACAAUAAAUAAAUAUAUUUUAUUUAUAUGUGUAA
This is a long non-coding RNA of Anastrepha obliqua, 502 nucleotides long. RefSeq lists it as uncharacterized. The record is from RefSeq and is a predicted model, not a curated record. Lineage: Eukaryota; Metazoa; Arthropoda; Insecta; Diptera; Tephritidae. The transcript has 2 exons.